This 465-nucleotide ribosomal RNA is filed under the name Vreelandella stevensii. RNAcentral's name for it is "partial 16S ribosomal RNA". It matches the Rfam family "Bacterial small subunit ribosomal RNA", at positions 338 to 795 of the family's 1533-position model. Lineage: Bacteria; Pseudomonadati; Pseudomonadota; Gammaproteobacteria; Oceanospirillales; Halomonadaceae. The record is from RNAcentral.
CCUACGGGCGGCUGCAGUGGGGAAUAUUGGACAAUGGGGGGAACCCUGAUCCAGCCAUGCCGCGUGUGUGAAGAAGGCCCUCGGGUUGUAAAGCACUUUCAGUGAGGAAGAACGCCUGGUGGUUAAUACCCAUCAGGAAAGACAUCACUCACAGAAGAAGCACCGGCUAACUCCGUGCCAGCAGCCGCGGUAAUACGGAGGGUGCGAGCGUUAAUCGGAAUUACUGGGCGUAAAGCGCGCGUAGGUGGCUUGAUAAGCCGGUUGUGAAAGCCCCGGGCUCAACCUGGGAACGGCAUCCGGAACUGUCAAGCUAGAGUGCAGGAGAGGAAGGUAGAAUUCCCGGUGUAGCGGUGAAAUGCGUAGAGAUCGGGAGGAAUAGCAGUGGCGAAGGCGGCCUUCUGGACUGACACUGACACUGAGGUGCGAAAGCGUGGGUAGCAAACAGGAUUAGAUACCCUAGUAGUC